UCACUCACAUUCACUCACACAAACACUCACUCACUCACUCACAUUCACUCACACAAACACUCACUCACUCACUCACAUUCACUCACACAAACACUCACUCACUCACAUUCACUCACACAAACACUCACUCACUCACUCACAUUCACUCACACAAACACUCACUCACUCACAUUCACUCACACAAACACUCACUCACUCACAUUCACUCACUUACAUUCAGUUUCUCUCUCUCUCUCUGAAUGCAUUGUGGUCUGUCCAAAUGUUCCCACUGUUGAAUGCUCCUCUGCUAACCAUGUGGGAUCUCCAAAUUCACGGCAUUUGUCUGUUGUGUGUCUGCAGGUUGUGGCCGUCUCCUGUCUUGGUUGAAGCAGGCAGCACAACUACACCAGCUCUGCUAUGCUAUGAAGAAGACACCCCAUUUUGCCUGCCAGCUGCUCUGACAUGUUUUUCACUCAAGUGUGUGUGGAGUUCUAAAUGGAUACGGGUGUUGAUGUGGGACCAAGAACCCAGUGGGAUGAUUGAGCGCCUUUAUGACCUUAUUUUUAUAUUCCUGGGGACACUAACCUUGGGAGACAGACUGUAUAUGUGCUUUAGCCGAGGAGGGAAUAUCCUGCUUUAAAGAAACAAAACUUGAAUUUGUGAAUAGCCUUAUUUAUAGAUCACACUGCCAUAGAUGAAUACAUGCGAGUGAGUUUGCGUGCUGGAAGUGUGUUUUUUUUUUGUGUGUGUGUGUGUGUGUGUGUGUGUGUGUGUGUGUGUGUGUGUGUGUGUGUGUGUGUGUGUGUGUGUGUGUGAGUGUGAGUUUGCGUGCUGGAAGUGUGUGUGUGUGUGUGUGUGUGUGUUUGCGCGAGAUAGAUAGAUAGAGAGAGAGAGUGUGAGUGAGUGUGUGUGUGUGUGUGUGUGCGAGCGAGCGAGCGAGCGAGAGAGAUAGAGAGAGAGAGUGUGAGUGUGUGUGUGUGCAUGCGCGUCUGUGUUUUCUGUCUAUGACUCAAACCAACCUGAGCCUUUUUCCUCUCCAUGUAUGGUUAUCCACCAUGAAGUGCUUUUUCUCUCUCUCUCUCUCUCGCUUUAUGUAUCUCUCUCUCUCUCUCUCCAUCCCACCAUUAAUUUCGUUUUCUCUUCACUCCUUUCUUUUGUACAUUACUAUAAUAUUUCAACAGUUUCUCAUUUUGAGUUUAUAACAGCACACUGCAUCACACUGCCUGUUUAGUAAUAAGUGUUAUGUCUGUAAUUGUUUUGUAUAAAGUGCCUGUACAUGAUUAGCUCUCUACUUUUUUAUCAGAUUAAUAUAUUAAGUUGAUAUUAAUCGUUUAGUUUUGUCAAUAUGUUCCUGGUUUGGAAUGUUUUUGUUUUUGUUGAUAGGUUUGUUUGUGUUCCAGCCUGUUUCCUUGGGUGUCUGUAGAAGUAGCUUGUUUUUUUAUCAUUAUUUGAUUGCAUUUUGAAAGCCUUAAAGGGCGGCGGCGGCAUGGCGUGGUCUUUCUUGUAGGACUAUUUAAAGGGAAGUUUGUAGAUCUUGCACAGAUAAACAGUGUGGGUGGGUGGGUUGGACACAGUGAUUUAGUAGCAGCACCUGCUGCAGCUACAUUGAGCUGUUUUCAGCUUUACAAGCACUCAUAUGUUAAGCUAAUGUACACACACUAAGGUACCUAGAGAAUUUCCCCAGCACAUAGUUAUUCUUGCUGCCUCCUACAGCAACUACUGUAGAAAGGACCCUUUUCCACAGCCUAAAUAGACCAUCAAGCUGUCAAGUGAACUGCUACAGCAUGCUCAUUUCAUUUCAGAUGAAGUCCAAGAAUUAGCUUCAUGAAACUUUGAAUGCAAACAAAAUAUUCAGAUCUCUAUGACCCCCCCCCCCCCCCCAUCAUAUUUUUGUUGUACUAAUUGUACUCAGACUGUGAUCCACUGUGAAUCGGUUCCCUGUUUUAUGUCACAUUAAUGUGGUGCUGAUUGUGCCUGCUUUGAUGCUUUCAAUCAUUAGCUGACUGGAAUAAAAUGGUUGCCUUGAAUAUUUGCCUUUGGUUUGUCAUCUCUUGGUGUGCUGGUGGGGUUGAUAGAGGAGAUAGAUAGAUAGAUGGAUGGAUGGAUGGAUGGAUAGAUAGAUAGAUAGGUAGAUAUAUACUUUAUUAAUCCCGUGGGGAAAUUCAGGUAUCUUGCAGCUCACAUGGUGACAAUAAGUACAGACAAUACGAUACAAACAGACAAUACGAUACAAUACGGUUAUGUACAGUGUAAGAUGUAUAGUGCAAAAUAGUGUAGAGUCACAUAGUUGGAAGUUAUGGAAAAGAUGCAGACAACAUGUAUGGCUUUCAGUGUUCUUUUUGGUUGUUUAAUAAUCAGUACUUCAGAUUGGUGGGUUAUCCAUCCGGCCUGUAUUCAUGAAUUACUGCCAGACAAGCAUAAAUCCCUGGGCUGUCCGUGGAGGUGAGUAUCUUGAAUCAUCAUCUGUGUAUAUUUAUAGUUAUAGUUUAGAGUUUCUGUGGGAAUGUGAGUGAGUAUAUGUUAACUUGUCAGACAGCAUUCCUGAUUCAUUUGUGUGAUUGCAUGGCUCCUGACCAAAGAUGGGAAUAUGCCUCACAAAGCUGAACUUGGUGUAAAGGAGAUUGUCAUAGAGGGGAUACAAAACCAGAAGGAGAGGGGGAUGGAUGUGAGUGGAGACCCCCAGCCAAGUCAACAUGUGG
This is a long non-coding RNA of Clupea harengus (Atlantic herring), 2678 nucleotides long. The record is from Ensembl. Lineage: Eukaryota; Metazoa; Chordata; Actinopteri; Clupeiformes; Clupeidae.